RNAcentral lists this ribosomal RNA (459 nucleotides) under uncultured bacterium. Its description in RNAcentral is "partial 16S ribosomal RNA". It matches the Rfam family "Bacterial small subunit ribosomal RNA", at positions 338 to 795 of the family's 1533-position model. The record is from RNAcentral.
CCUACGGGGGGCAGCAGUGAGGAAUAUUGGUCAAUGGGAGAGAUCCUGAACCAGCCAAGUCGCGUGAGGGAAGACGGCCCUAUGGGUUGUAAACCUCUUUUGCCGGAGAACAAAACCCGGGACGUGUCCCGGCCUGCGUGUAUCCGAAGAAAAAGCAUCGGCUAACUCCGUGCCAGCAGCCGCGGUAAUACGGAGGAUGCGAGCGUUAUCCGGAUUUAUUGGGUUUAAAGGGUGCGUAGGCGGUCCGUUAAGUCAGCGGUAAAAUUGCGGGGCUCAACCCCGUUGAGCCGUUGACACUGGCGGACUUGAGUUGGCGAGAAGUACGAGGAAGGCGCGGUGUAGCGGUGAAAUGCAGAGAUAGCGCGCAGAACGCCGAUUGCGAAGGCAGCGUACCGGCGCCAGACUGACGCUGAGGCACGAAAGCGUGGGGAUCGAACAGGAUUAGAUACCCGUGUAGUC